UACGGAGGGUGCAAGCGUUGUUCGGAAUCACUGGGCGUAAAGCGCGUGUAGGCGGCUAUUUAAGUCUGAUGUGAAAGCCCUGGGCUUAACCCAGGAAGUGCAUUGGAUACUGGGUAGCUCGAGUACCGGAGAGGAGGGUGGAAUUCCUGGUGUAGCGGUGAAAUGCGUAGAUAUCUGGAGGAAUACCGGUGGCGAAGGCGGCAUCCUGGACCGGCAUUGACGCUGAGGAGCGAAAGCCAGGGGAGCAAACGGG
RNAcentral lists this ribosomal RNA (253 nucleotides) under uncultured bacterium. RNAcentral describes it as "partial 16S ribosomal RNA". It matches the Rfam family "Bacterial small subunit ribosomal RNA", at positions 524 to 776 of the family's 1533-position model. The record is from RNAcentral.